CCCCUCACUCUGGGAUAAGCCUGGGAAACUGGGUCUAAUACUGGAUACGACCGAUCUCCGCAUGGAGUGUUGGUGGAAAGUUUUUGUGGUGGGGGAUGGACUCGCGGCCUAUCAGCUUGUUGGUGGGGUAAUGGCCUACCAAGGCGACGACGGGUAGCCGGCCUGAGAGGGCGACCGGCCACACUGGGACUGAGACACGGCCCAGACUCCUACGGGAGGCAGCAGUGGGGAAUAUUGCACAAUGGGCGAAAGCCUGAUGCAGCGACGCCGCGUGAGGGAUGACGGCCUUCGGGUUGUAAACCUCUUUCACCAGGGACGAAGCUAACGUGACGGUACCUGGAGAAGAAGCACCGGCUAACUACGUGCCAGCAGCCGCGGUAAUACGUAGGGUGCGAGCGUUGUCCGGAAUUAUUGGGCGUAAAGAGCUUGUAGGCGGUUUGUCGCGUCUGCUGUGAAAGACCGGGGCUUAACUCCGGUUCUGCAGUGGGUACGGGCAGACUAGAGUGUGGUAGGGGAGACUGGAAUUCCUGGUGUAGCGGUGAAAUGCGCAGAUAUCAGGAGGAACACCGAUGGCGAAGGCAGGUCUCUGGGCCAUUACUGACGCUGAGAAGCGAAAGCAUGGGGAGCGAACAGGAUUAGAUACCCUGGUAGUCCAUGCCGUAAACGUUGGGCGCUAGGUGUGGGACUCAUUCCACGAGUUCCGUGCCGCAGCUAACGCAUUAAGCGCCCCGCCUGGGGAGUACGGCCGCAAGGCUAAAACUCAAAGGAAUUGACGGGGGCCCGCACAAGCGGCGGAGCAUGCGGAUUAAUUCGAUGCAACGCGAAGAACCUUACCAAGGCUUGACAUACACCGGAAUCAUGCAGAGAUGUGUGCGUCUUCGGACUGGUGUACAGGUGGUGCAUGGUUGUCGUCAGCUCGUGUCGUGAGAUGUUGGGUUAAGUCCCGCAACGAGCGCAACCCUCGUUCCAUGUUGCCAGCACUUCGGGUGGGGACUCAUGGGAGACUGCCGGGGUCAACUCGGAGGAAGGUGGGGAUGACGUCAAAUCAUCAUGCCCCUUAUGUCUUGGGCUUCACGCAUGCUACAAUGGCCGGUACAGAGGGUUGCGAAACCGUGAGGUGGAGCUAAUCCCAAAAAACCGGUCUCAGUUCGGAUUGGGGUCUGCAACUCGACCCCAUGAAGUCGGAGUCGCUAGUAAUCGCAGAUCA
Molecule: ribosomal RNA, 1207 nt
Filed under: Dermacoccus nishinomiyaensis
Lineage: Bacteria; Bacillati; Actinomycetota; Actinomycetes; Micrococcales; Dermacoccaceae
Description: bacterial SSU rRNA
Rfam family: Bacterial small subunit ribosomal RNA
Source: RNAcentral